Pteropus alecto (black flying fox) is the source of this 2757-nucleotide long non-coding RNA. RefSeq lists it as uncharacterized. Lineage: Eukaryota; Metazoa; Chordata; Mammalia; Chiroptera; Pteropodidae. The transcript is spliced from 2 exons. The record is from RefSeq and is a predicted model, not a curated record.
AGAAAGUUGGAAUGAUAAACUUGCCCAAGGUCACUGAACAGUAGCUGGGGAGAACUAGACCAGUGAACAGUGAAGAUGGGAACUUUAAACUUUUAGAGAAAAUUAGGACUCUCCUUAUGUGCCAACUACACAAAAACUAAAUGAAGAGCAGUGAGCCCCUGCUGUUGGGAGAUUCCCAAGUGAAAAAGUAGUAGUCCAAACUUAAAAAGUAAUUUCAAACAGAAGAUCUAAAGAUAAAGACAUCUGUAAAGGCUGGACAUCCGGAAAGGUUUACUCAAGUAGUUCUAUAAGGCUCCUGCACUUCCCUAGCCUUAAAAUCUAAUCUGAUUUAAGAGCAAAGAGAUUUUAUAACACUCUUCUAAAUUCCAUCAAGCUUAACAACCUCUAUUCAAAACAAAACAAACAAAAACAGAAGUGAGAACAGAACAAUGGGAAGAAGUGACCGCCCAGCCUUUGGGUCAGCCGUCAAGACCUACAGGGUUGCAACCACGAGACGGCUGCAGAGCCCUUGGAUUGAGAUCAGCUAGGGUCCCCGCCUUACUAGACCCAGUUCUGGCUCAGUCGGCAACCUCAGUUAACCAUCCCAUCACCUCCAGAAGGCAUUGGAAAAAUUUUGUUUUAACAAGUAGAACCCAUAAUUCACCAACUGGCUUCACAAUCUGAAAUCUACGGCAAGGCUCCCACAAGGGAGGGUCGGGAGAAUGUGGUAUAACUGAUCUAACCUAUCGUUCUACGAAGUUGGGGAGGUUCGGCAGGCCAUGGGGGAGUAGAGGAGCAACGACAUAUACCAUCCCCACGUUUAGGGCAGGAGAGAGAGAGCCUCCUCUACAACCCAGGUUUAAAAUGUAUAUAUUAUUUUCAGAGAUGAGCUUUCACGCUGUGACACUCGUGAAGAGUCUCCCAGUAGCUCCUCCCCCACUUGAUAGGGAGACUGGGUUCUGGAGCUACCCAGCUGAGUGUAAAAUAUCUGGAAAUUAAGGUGACUCGGUUUUAUGGCCUCCAGAAGGGUCCUCCCUCCUGCCCGAGAUCAGCCGCCAGGACCGACGCCCGCAGCGCCCGCGGACUGCCCACCGAGCGCCCCACGCCCACCUUCCCAGCGAGGUAUUUUGCAGAGGCCAGCUGGACUCGUUCCCCGCAGCACCCACCCUUCCCCCUUCCCAGGUUUCGGGCAAGGAGCCUGGUUAAUCAUUCAAUGCGGACAGCGUGAAAGAUUUUUUUUAGAGGUCAAAGUGAAAGGUUCUCCCUAAGUUUCGCAGAAACUGGCCUUUGGGGACCCUGAGGUGGCAGUGGCAGGAGGCUGGGGAGUAGGGAGAGGCUGGGGAGGCUCUUGGGCUCACAAAACACCUGAUCUUCCCAUGCGGCACCGGAGACCACAGCAGUGAGAGUGUGGGACAAGGGGGUGCGAGCGCGAAAUCACGCAGAGCCCCCUCCCCAAAACAGCGGCGCUACCCAGAAGAGGACGCCCGACCCCACAUACUCCUUACAAUUGCCUGCAUCACCCCGGCGCCGGCUCCCCCGGAAGUUGGGGUGCAGCGGAAAGGAGGGAUGUCCCAAGGCCCCGAGGAGGUGGGUGUGGAAUGGGGCAAGAGGCUCCGAAGACUCAGAUUUCAUACCCUCUCCCUCUAAGAGAGUUUCCUCGAGGUUCCACGGGUGUCUCUGGAAGCCGGAAACGCAAGGUGCCCAGACGCUGGGCCUCGAACCCAAGAGGUAGGGCGGAUACCUAGGUGCAGACUAAAUGGCUGAACUCGGACACACCCAUACCACCGGCUCCCCGGGGCUGGAUGGGGACACCCACUGGCCAGAGCUCUGGAGACCACAGACGCAUCCCUCUAGCCCAGCGCCCCCGCCGGCUCACCAGAGUACUGCAUUCUAAGGUGAGUCGGAGCCGCUAUUGACACAACUGUGGAGUCCCCAGGUUAAGUCCUGAGCGACCCGAUGGAGAAGUUGCACUGGUGUGAAAGACCUAGAGCAGCCAGCUUUUCACGGAUGCGCUCUGCUAGAAGGCAAGCCUGGCCCGAGGCGCACCUGAAAGCACCUCUCCUCCCAUGGUCCUUACCUCUCCACGAAGAAAGCAGCGUUCCCCUUUUAGAUAAUCAGACCGAGGAGUUAAAGACAAUCCACGCUCAACUAUUCACAUUUUCGGAAGCCUUUCUGAGGGUGAAUUAGCUGAAAAGCAAGGAAUUGCUACCGCAGGAAUUUCGGGCACCUGUGAGCUCAGGCACUCAUCUAUUGGCCCUUAGUCUUAAACUCAGCGCGAAAGAGGAACGCGUUGCUGAUGCACGCUCUGAGCCGUGUGCUUGCGGUCCAUUGGAAACGAACUCUCUCGUCAGAUCUGGAAAAGUUUUGGUUUGCAGCCUUCCAACCUUUUUGAUUUUAUGUUAAUCACAUGAUUCUCCUAAGACUGCGACAUAAAGUCCAAACGAGUUAGAUUUUUGUAUAUUAAUAGAAAACCACCUGUAAGGAUGCACACGGUUACAUCGGAUGUGGGAUAGGGGCGUCGGAAAGAGAGAAGAUGAAUUUUAGAACCUUACUGACUUUGAAUUUUGUAUUUUUCCAGUUAUAUUAACUUUCAUAAUUUAGGAAGCUAAUAAAACACUUUUAAAGAAAUAUAGAAAUUAGAAAAUCUGUAAGAUCUCUACAGAAAGUAUAAAUCAUAAACAAACAAAACCUAUGUCUUUCAUUUUGUGUCAAAAUAAUUAAACACAAGUCUGCGUACCUUGGUUUAAAUAAAGAUAUCUUUAGGUGGCUGUUCUUUAA